CGGGGUGUGGCGCAGUCCGGUUAGCGCGCAUGGUUUGGGACCAUGAGGUCGGAGGCUCAAAUCCUCUCACCCCGACCA
RNAcentral lists this transfer RNA (78 nucleotides) under Dehalococcoidia bacterium. Its description in RNAcentral is "tRNA-Pro". It matches the Rfam family "tRNA". From Rfam's summary of the family: Transfer RNA (tRNA) molecules are approximately 80 nucleotides in length. Their secondary structure includes four short double-helical elements and three loops (D, anti-codon, and T loops). RNAcentral also lists the same sequence under 1 other name. The record is from RNAcentral. Lineage: Bacteria; Bacillati; Chloroflexota; Dehalococcoidia.